GAUGAACGCUAGCUACAGGCUUAACACAUGCAAGUCGAGGGGUAGCACGGAGGAAGCUUGCUUCCUUGGGUGACGACCGGCGCACGGGUGAGUAACGCGUAUCCGACCUACCCAUUACUCGGGCACAGCCGCUCGAAAGAGUGAUUGAUUCCCGAUAUGUCCUUGGAGUAGAUUCAAUGAUGAAAGAUUUAUCGGUAAUGGAUGGGGAUGCGUAAGAUUAGGUAGUAGGCGGGUAACGGCCACCUAGCCGACGAUCUUUAGGGGUUCUGAGAGGAAGGUCCCCACACUGGUACUGAGACACGGCCCAGACUCCUACGGGAGGCAGCAGUGGGGGAUAUUGCACAAUGGAGGAAACUCUGAUGCAGCAACGCCGCGUGAGGGAAGAAGGUCUUCGGAUUGUAAACCUUGUUUUAGUGAAGAAAAAUGACGGUAGCUAAAGAGGAAGCCACGGCUAACUAACGUGCCAGCAGCCGC
RNAcentral lists this ribosomal RNA (474 nucleotides) under uncultured bacterium. RNAcentral's name for it is "bacterial SSU rRNA". It matches the Rfam family "Bacterial small subunit ribosomal RNA", at positions 28 to 518 of the family's 1533-position model. The record is from RNAcentral.